GACGAACGCUGGCGGCGUGCCUAAUACAUGCAAGUUGAGCGAUGAAGAUUGGUGCUUGCCCCAAUUUGAAGAGCAGCGAACGGGUGAGUAACGCGUGGGGAAUCUGCCUUUGAGCGGGGGACAACAUUUGGAAACGAAUGCUAAUACCGCAUAACAACUUUAAACAUAAGUUUUAAGUUUGAAAGAUGCAAUUGCAUCACUCAAAGAUGAUCCCGCGUUGUAUUAGCUAGUUGGUGAGGUAAAGGCUCACCAAGGCGAGGAUACAUAGCCGACCUGAGAGGGUGGGCGGCCACAUUGGGACUGAGACACGGCCCAAACUCCUUCGGGAGGCAGCAGUAGGGAAUCUUCGGCAAUGGACGAAAGUCUGACCGAGCUACGCCGCGGGAGUGAAGAAGGGUUUCGGGUCGUAAAACUCUGUUGGUAGAGAAGAACGUUGGUGAGAGUGGAAAGCUCAUCAAGUGACGGUAACUACCCAGAAAGGGACGGCUAACUACGUG
RNAcentral lists this ribosomal RNA (497 nucleotides) under uncultured bacterium. RNAcentral's name for it is "partial 16S ribosomal RNA". It matches the Rfam family "Bacterial small subunit ribosomal RNA", at positions 28 to 507 of the family's 1533-position model. The record is from RNAcentral.